GUUGAUCCUGCGGGAGGUUGCUGCUAUUAGGGUUCGACUAAGCCAUGCAAGUCUAAUCGUAAGAUUGGCAAACUGCUCAGUAACACGUCGAUAACCUGCCCUUAAGCGGGGGAUAACCUCGGGAAACUGAGGAUAAUACCCCAUAGAGUAUUGAUACUGGAACGUUCUUUACUCAAAAGCUUCGGCACUUAAGGAUGGGAUGGCGGCGGAUUAGAUUGUUGGUGGGGUAAUGGCCCACCAAGUCAGAGAUCCGUAGGAGCCUUGAGAGAGGUAGCUCCGAGAAGGGCACUGAGAUACUGGCCCUAGCCCUACGGGGUGCAGCAGGCGCGAAACCUUUACAAUGCACGCAAGUGUGAUAAGGGAACCCUAAGUGCUUAGCUUUUGCUAGGCUUUUUUUAAGAAAAAAUCUCUUGGAGAAUAAGUGGUGGGAAAGACUGGUGCCAGCCGCCGCGGUAACCCCAGCGCCACAAGUGGCAACCGCUAUUAUUGGGCCUAAAGCGUCCGUAGCCGGUUUGUUAAAUCUUCUGUGAAAUCGUUAGACUCAAUCUACCGACGGGCAGAAGACACUGGCAGACUUGAGACUGGAAGGAGCCGGAAGUAUUCCUGGGGAAGCGGUAAAAUGCUAUAAUCCUAGGAAGACUACCUGUGGCGAAGGCGUCCGGCUAGUACAGAUCUGACGGUGAGGGACGAAAGCGAGGGGAGCAAUCCGGAUUAGAUACCCGAGUAGUCCUCGCUGUAAACUCUGCGAGCAAGGUGUUGCCUAUUCUUCAUGAAUGGGCAGUGUCGAAGAGAAGUCGUUAAGCUCGCCGCCUGGGAAGUAUGGUCGCAAGGCUGAAACUUAAAGGAAUUGGCGGGGGAGCACUACAAGGGGUGCGGCGUGCGGUUUAAUCUAAUUCAACGCAGAAAAUCUCACCAGAAGCGACGCCAGGAUGAAAGACAGUCUGAAGGGCUUUCUUGACGAGCCGAGAGGUAGUGCAUGGCCGCCGUCAGCUCGUGCUGUGAAGUGUCCUGUUAAGUCAGGCAACGAGCGAGACCCACACUCACAAUUGCUAGCGGGAAAAUUUUUCGACCGAGCACUUUGUGAGGACUGCCUUGGAAACAAGGAGGAAGGUGUGGGCUACGGUAGGUCUGUAUGCUCCGAAUCUUCUGGGCUACACGCGCGCAACAAUGGUAUGGACAAUGGGAUACAACCCCGUAAGGGGAAGUCAAUCCUCGAAACCAUAUCUUAGUUCAGAUUGAGGCUUGCAACUCAGCCUCAUGACGAUGGAAUCCCUAGUAAUUGGAUCUCAUCAUGGUCCAGUGAAUACGUCCCUGCUCCUUGCACACACCGCCCGUCAAACCACCCGAGUAGGGGUUAGAUGAGGCUUAAUUUUUAAUUGAGUCGAAUCUAAUCUCAGCGAGGAGGGUUAAGUCGUCACAAGGUA
This 1424-nucleotide ribosomal RNA is filed under the name metagenome. RNAcentral's name for it is "bacterial SSU rRNA". It matches the Rfam family "Archaeal small subunit ribosomal RNA". The record is from RNAcentral.